This is a long non-coding RNA of Rhipicephalus microplus (southern cattle tick), 1449 nucleotides long. The record is from RefSeq and is a predicted model, not a curated record. Lineage: Eukaryota; Metazoa; Arthropoda; Arachnida; Ixodida; Ixodidae.
CAUUAUUUGCAGGCCAUGGUGUGCCAGUGCAGCUGUCACCAUCCUGCGAGGGCCUCUGUGGCUACACAGUGCUCACUUGGUAUGAAGGCAGCGAGGGAUUUAGCUUUCCCAGGAGUGGCAAGCACAGCUGUUCAGGGACCUGCCUGAGGAUGGUGUUGAGAUCGCAGGAGAUGGCCAGUGUGAUUCACCAGGGUACAGCGUAAAGUACUGCUCGUAUAUUGUCCUGGCGAUGGAAGUUGGCGAAAUCCUCUAUUACGAACAGAUAAGAGUGGGAGAGGUGAGCAAGUACAGAAAGCUAGAUUGCCUUUCUGUAACUAUAAUUUCAUGCAGUCACCAGCUAUACCAAGCAGCUCUGCAAUAGAGAAGGAGGGUUUGGCACGAUCCUUCUAAAAGCUUGAAGAAAAUAGCGUGACUGUGCGGUCCCUCACUACAGGCAAGUUAAAGUUUUUUGCAGAAAAGAAGAGUGUUCUUUGAAUAGUGACAGUGACUUCAGUGUGCUUCUUUCAUAACUGGAUUUAGUGACGUGGUAAACAAGCACUGCCGGCUCCCACAACCACCAUAUUGUUUCCCUUAUACCUCUGUCACAUGAACAGCCUUAGCCGCUGUUAAGCUGACUAUCGUUAUGGCUAACGGUAAGAAGUACAUACAGGGAAGACAUAAAUUCAGUUACUCUGCUGACCAUGGUUGUUGCAAACAAAGCUAGGCAAACAUGGUUUACACUCGCAAACCGAGAAGCUGACAAGAUUGCUGAAAAGCUGCAGACCUGCCAUGAACCAGUGAAAGCCAAUCGGCAUCUUUGCGUUGUUUGAAAAUUCUCAUGGAAUGCGACUCCAGUUGUUAAACACUUGCACAGCUUGUGAAAAAUAAAGCUCAUCGUAGAAUGGCCAGCAAUAAUGAUCGUUCUGUCAUAGCAGAAAUAGCAAGAUAGUGUAGCCUUAUCGCAACAUGUUUCUUGAGAAGAAUUGCUUUUCACAUUGUUCGUGUCUAGCAGCCUCAUAAAGCCCCAAACGCUGAGUGUCUAGUCAAAAGCAGAAUGAUUCAAAAACAGUCUUAGAGGUGCAGAUGGGCUGUGUUAUACCACCAAGCUUACUGAGGCGGUGCUCGAAAUUUUCUCUGACCUCAGGGUCAGCUCAUGAUUUUAUUGGCUUGUUCAACUGAGCUAACUCAGCCCAUGAAGCAGUAGCAAAGCGCUUUCACAUUAACAGUGGUUAAUCCUUAAGCAUCAGAACAAUUAGGGCGUCCAUGUGACACAGGUAUAUCUUAAGCUCUACAGUGUCUUUUCAGUAUUUCUGUAUCUGAAUUCAUUGCGCAUUAUAAACGUUCACACUUCACUGCAUAUUUCCAGCAGACCGCCACCCAGUCAUCUUGACUUACUGCAGCGUAAAAAAGCCUGGCAUGCCACAUUAUUUCGAUGUUUGGCAUCUAAAUAAAGGUGUUUAAAAAGUUUUU